This is a long non-coding RNA of Bombyx mori (domestic silkworm), 777 nucleotides long. RefSeq lists it as uncharacterized. Lineage: Eukaryota; Metazoa; Arthropoda; Insecta; Lepidoptera; Bombycidae. The transcript has 2 exons. The record is from RefSeq and is a predicted model, not a curated record.
AAUGUUUUCUUUAUUGAUUUAAUGUAUCUUUUAUGCAUUAUUUAAAAAAAAUAUUAGCAUUGUGCACUUCUUCUCUAUAUUCUCUAUAAGUGUGGAAAAUUUCAUACUCCUCCGUCCGCGCAACUUUCGUAAAAAGGGAUACAAAGUUUUUGCUUCACGUAUUAAUAAAUAGAUAGUUAGCACAGAUAACGCACAUGAUUAGCACAGAUAGUACACUUAAUAUUUAAGAUUAAUUUGUUAGUUUUUCUCCUUUGAGGAAGCUCAGGUCAUAGCGUUCCGGAAAGUAUGAGACAAGAUUGGUCUUGAGGAACAUAGCCAUUCUAGAUCGAACGAGAAAAUUACGAUGGGGAAAUGAAGAUGACCAUCUCAACUACAACAAGGAAAACUAAAUUCCCUCCGGAUUUCACCAACUUGAAGGUGUACCUUGAAGACGUAUCCUCUUUCAUCAAGGCUGGUGACGUACAUACAGCUACUGUAAUCAACAAACCUUUGCCUGUUCAUCUGUAAACGUAACAUUGUUUUAGAACAAUAAGUACAGCGCGCGUCAGAUCACCUUGGAGAUUUCCGACUUUCAUACAAAAUAGAGACAAUUGAACGCGACACAGUAAAAUUAACUUGUGAUUUGACCGGAUGGGUUGUCUCACGUAACAUAUCUCAAAUAGCCACCGAAACUCAUGGAGAUCACAAAAUGCCGUCAUCCACCUUUUCACCCUUCAAAAUAGCACACACAGUUGUUUCCCGCCAAAAAUAUAUAAAGAUGGCGGUCUACGCCGCGAA